ACAGCAAGACAGUACUACUGCUGUGGAAUUGUCUUCUCUUCACUGUUUGCAUUCGUUAUCACAAUGAGUGUAAAACUUCUUGAUGCAGUAAAAAAGCUGGUAAGAGACAGCCGUAUGCUUUCACCUGCUAUUUUAGCAUUAAUCGAGGUGGGACUAGAAAAGAUCCUGGAAAUUGAGUUCAGUUGUCCUUGUGUACCGAAACUCAAUGCUGGAUAUAGCGUGUGCGUCUUUUUUAUACCAGCACUGGUAGUCUUGUUUCUUAUGUUAUCACAGAAGUGGACAGGCAUUGAAGACUGCUGCAAACGCUUCCUAAUUGCAUUAGUUCCAGCAGUGGCUUGGCUCAUCAUAACUUUCUUGGAUGGAAGAUACUUUGUUUGUUUAAAAGCUUAUGGGACAGGCACUUUCAAUGUGUCCCGACAUACUGAAGGCGUGGCUCAAUCAUGCAAUAUGAAAGAUGAAGCAAUGACAGAAAAGGAAACACUGGAUAUUAUUAAAAAAUAUACUGCAACAUCUCAGGUUAUCGGUGCUGGAAUUUCUGUUUUUUUCGCUCUGAUUUGGAUGAUCUCAGGGUGCUUUGGGUACUUACCGAGACCUGCUGAAGAUGACAUUGAAAAUGGAAGCAAGGAAAACCCUGAAGAGUCACACGAACUGAGCCAGAUGAUAUGAGAUGAGAUGAUGGCAGUAAUCGGUUGGAUAAUUUGGAACAACGCACAUAUAUCUGAAGCGCAGUCACGUGAUUUGCAAGAACAACGAAGACAUGUUUCUUUGUAUUUCCUCUAAAGAAAAUUAAAAUUUGAGUGCAGGCUAAUUUUUUGUUUAAGAAAAUAAAUUAUAUGUAUAUUACAUCAGGAUAAUAUGACCCAAGAAAUCAUUGGGCACUAUGCAUAAUGGUUUUUUUUUGCAUUUGUUCAGCAUGUGAAAGUUGAUUUUUAAAAGUUUGAUUUUCAUGCUUCCUAAUUCCAUGUCUGCUCUCUUAUUAUCUUCAGAUUUAGAUUAUUUAUGCAACCACUUGGCUAUAGAGCUGAAGUGAAAUCUCUAAUGCAAGAUCAGACAAGGUGGUUAAAC
Molecule: long non-coding RNA, 1065 nt
Organism: Acipenser ruthenus (sterlet)
Lineage: Eukaryota; Metazoa; Chordata; Actinopteri; Acipenseriformes; Acipenseridae
Exons: 3
Source: RefSeq, a predicted model, not a curated record